GCCCUCUUAGCUCAGUUGGUAGAGCACCUCCAUGGUAAGGAGGGGGUCAACGGUUCAAGUCCGUUAGAGGGCU
RNAcentral lists this transfer RNA (73 nucleotides) under Actinomycetota bacterium. RNAcentral describes it as "Actinobacteria bacterium tRNA-Thr". It matches the Rfam family "tRNA". Rfam says of the family: Transfer RNA (tRNA) molecules are approximately 80 nucleotides in length. Their secondary structure includes four short double-helical elements and three loops (D, anti-codon, and T loops). The record is from RNAcentral. RNAcentral also lists the same sequence under 1 other name. Lineage: Bacteria; Bacillati; Actinomycetota.